RNAcentral lists this small RNA (18 nucleotides) under Arabidopsis thaliana (thale cress). RNAcentral's name for it is "ATSL282930". Lineage: Eukaryota; Viridiplantae; Streptophyta; Magnoliopsida; Brassicales; Brassicaceae. The record is from RNAcentral.
GUUUUUGUUUGUUUUUUA